This 2393-nucleotide ribosomal RNA is filed under the name Escherichia coli. RNAcentral describes it as "partial 23S ribosomal RNA". It matches the Rfam family "Bacterial large subunit ribosomal RNA", at positions 419 to 2798 of the family's 2925-position model. Lineage: Bacteria; Pseudomonadati; Pseudomonadota; Gammaproteobacteria; Enterobacterales; Enterobacteriaceae. The record is from RNAcentral.
GGGACACGUGGUAUCCUGUCUGAAUAUGGGGGGACCAUCCUCCAAGGCUAAAUACUCCUGACUGACCGAUAGUGAACCAGUACCGUGAGGGAAAGGCGAAAAGAACCCCGGCGAGGGGAGUGAAAAAGAACCUGAAACCGUGUACGUACAAGCAGUGGGAGCCUCUUUAUGGGGUGACUGCGUACCUUUUGUAUAAUGGGUCAGCGACUUAUAUUCUGUAGCAAGGUUAACCGAAUAGGGGAGCCGAAGGGAAACCGAGUCUUAACUGGGCGUUAAGUUGCAGGGUAUAGACCCGAAACCCGGUGAUCUAGCCAUGGGCAGGUUGAAGGUUGGGUAACACUAACUGGAGGACCGAACCGACUAAUGUUGAAAAAUUAGCGGAUGACUUGUGGCUGGGGGUGAAAGGCCAAUCAAACCGGGAGAUAGCUGGUUCUCCCCGAAAGCUAUUUAGGUAGCGCCUCGUGAAUUCAUCUCCGGGGGUAGAGCACUGUUUCGGCAAGGGGGUCAUCCCGACUUACCAACCCGAUGCAAACUGCGAAUACCGGAGAAUGUUAUCACGGGAGACACACGGCGGGUGCUAACGUCCGUCGUGAAGAGGGAAACAACCCAGACCGCCAGCUAAGGUCCCAAAGUCAUGGUUAAGUGGGAAACGAUGUGGGAAGGCCCAGACAGCCAGGAUGUUGGCUUAGAAGCAGCCAUCAUUUAAAGAAAGCGUAAUAGCUCACUGGUCGAGUCGGCCUGCGCGGAAGAUGUAACGGGGCUAAACCAUGCACCGAAGCUGCGGCAGCGACGCUUAUGCGUUGUUGGGUAGGGGAGCGUUCUGUAAGCCUGUGAAGGUGUGCUGUGAGGCAUGCUGGAGGUAUCAGAAGUGCGAAUGCUGACAUAAGUAACGAUAAAGCGGGUGAAAAGCCCGCUCGCCGGAAGACCAAGGGUUCCUGUCCAACGUUAAUCGGGGCAGGGUGAGUCGACCCCUAAGGCGAGGCCGAAAGGCGUAGUCGAUGGGAAACAGGUUAAUAUUCCUGUACUUGGUGUUACUGCGAAGGGGGGACGGAGAAGGCUAUGUUGGCCGGGCGACGGUUGUCCCGGUUUAAGCGUGUAGGCUGGUUUUCCAGGCAAAUCCGGAAAAUCAAGGCUGAGGCGUGAUGACGAGGCACUACGGUGCUGAAGCAACAAAUGCCCUGCUUCCAGGAAAAGCCUCUAAGCAUCAGGUAACAUCAAAUCGUACCCCAAACCGACACAGGUGGUCAGGUAGAGAAUACCAAGGCGCUUGAGAGAACUCGGGUGAAGGAACUAGGCAAAAUGGUGCCGUAACUUCGGGAGAAGGCACGCUGAUAUGUAGGUGAAGUCCCUCGCGGAUGGAGCUGAAAUCAGUCGAAGAUACCAGCUGGCUGCAACUGUUUAUUAAAAACACAGCACUGUGCAAACACGAAAGUGGACGUAUACGGUGUGACGCCUGCCCGGUGCCGGAAGGUUAAUUGAUGGGGUCAGCGCAAGCGAAGCUCUUGAUCGAAGCCCCGGUAAACGGCGGCCGUAACUAUAACGGUCCUAAGGUAGCGAAAUUCCUUGUCGGGUAAGUUCCGACCUGCACGAAUGGCGUAAUGAUGGCCAGGCUGUCUCCACCCGAGACUCAGUGAAAUUGAACUCGCUGUGAAGAUGCAGUGUACCCGCGGCAAGACGGAAAGACCCCGUGAACCUUUACUAUAGCUUGACACUGAACAUUGAGCCUUGAUGUGUAGGAUAGGUGGGAGGCUUAGAAGUGUGGACGCCAGUCUGCAUGGAGCCGACCUUGAAAUACCACCCUUUAAUGUUUGAUGUUCUAACGUUGACCCGUAAUCCGGGUUGCGGACAGUGUCUGGUGGGUAGUUUGACUGGGGCGGUCUCCUCCUAAAGAGUAACGGAGGAGCACGAAGGUUGGCUAAUCCUGGUCGGACAUCAGGAGGUUAGUGCAAUGGCAUAAGCCAGCUUGACUGCGAGCGUGACGGCGCGAGCAGGUGCGAAAGCAGGUCAUAGUGAUCCGGUGGUUCUGAAUGGAAGGGCCAUCGCUCAACGGAUAAAAGGUACUCCGGGGAUAACAGGCUGAUACCGCCCAAGAGUUCAUAUCGACGGCGGUGUUUGGCACCUCGAUGUCGGCUCAUCACAUCCUGGGGCUGAAGUAGGUCCCAAGGGUAUGGCUGUUCGCCAUUUAAAGUGGUACGCGAGCUGGGUUUAGAACGUCGUGAGACAGUUCGGUCCCUAUCUGCCGUGGGCGCUGGAGAACUGAGGGGGGCUGCUCCUAGUACGAGAGGACCGGAGUGGACGCAUCACUGGUGUUCGGGUUGUCAUGCCAAUGGCACUGCCCGGUAGCUAAAUGCGGAAGAGAUAAGUGCUGAAAGCAUCUAAGCACGAAACUUGCC